CAGAUGGCCGUCUCAAAUGUCACACUCUGUGGGAUUUGUGAUUCUCAACACGUUUCAAACAAUGCCAACUACUGGUGUCCUGAAUGUGAAGAAGGUCUUUGCACGACAUGUAAAAAUUACCACAGCGUAUCAAAAGCUUCAAGACAGCAUGGGAUCAUUUCAAUCGAAGACUACAAGAAACUUCCGGAUAAGAUUUGUAAAGUUGAACAGAAUUGUAGAGAACAUGAUAGAAAAUUUCAAAUGUUUUGCCCACGUCAUGACCAACUUUGUUGUUUUAUUUGCAUAUCCGAAAACCACAAAGAAUGCACCGGAAUGUAUCCUAUUGACGAAGCCAUCAAGUCUGCGAGAACUUCCACUUUAUUUGACAGUUUGGAGAUGUCACUAAAAGACAUUCAGGAAAACAUUGAAAGAGUAGUAAAGGACCGGGAAGCCAAUCUUGUUGAAAUAAAGCAACAGCACCUAAAAAGCUUGAAUGAUAUAAAAGACACAAGACAACAAAUAAACUCCCGUUUAGAUGAAUUAGAGAAAAACAUGAUAGACAAAUUGAAUUCAACUGAAACACAACUAAAACUAAAAAUUGAAACCCUUCUUAAUAAGCUAUCCGAAAAAAAGAACGAGAUUGAAAUUUUGAAGACAAAUCUAAUGUCCGUCAAACAACAUGGAUCCGAUCUGCAGGCUUUCAUUGGCAGUAAAAUGUUAGAAAAGGACUUCACUGAGGAGAUAAAAUACGUACACAACAUAUCGG
RNAcentral lists this long non-coding RNA (745 nucleotides) under Mytilus galloprovincialis (Mediterranean mussel). Lineage: Eukaryota; Metazoa; Mollusca; Bivalvia; Mytilida; Mytilidae. The record is from RNAcentral.